This 745-nucleotide ribosomal RNA is filed under the name uncultured haloarchaeon. RNAcentral describes it as "bacterial SSU rRNA". It matches the Rfam family "Archaeal small subunit ribosomal RNA", at positions 115 to 859 of the family's 1478-position model. The record is from RNAcentral. Lineage: Archaea; Methanobacteriati; Methanobacteriota; Halobacteria; Halobacteriales; Halobacteriaceae.
UUCGAAGGGGGAUACUCUCGGGAAACUGAGGCUAAUCCCGCAUACUCCUGGAUGUCUGGAAUGACACCAGGGCGAAACGCUCCGGCGCCGAAGGAUGUGGCUGCGGCCGAUUAGGUAGACGGUGGGGUAACGGCCCACCGUGCCGAUAAUCGGUACGGGUUGUGAGAGCAAGAACCCGGAGACGGAAUCUGAGACAAGAUUCCGGGCCCUACGGGGCGCAGCAGGCGCGAAACCUUUACACUGCACGCCAGUGCGAUAAGGGGACCCCGAGUGCGAGGGCAUAUCGUCCUCGCUUUUCUGUACCGUAGGGAGGUACACGAAUAAGGGCUGGGCAAGACCGGUGCCAGCCGCCGCGGUAAUACCGGCAGCCCGAGUGAUGGCCGAUAUUAUUGGGCCUAAAGCGUCCGUAGCCGGCCGAGCAAGUCCGUCGGGAAAUCCACGCGCUCAACGCGUGGGCGUCCGGCGGAACCUGCUCGGCUUGGGACCGGAAGACCCAGCGGGUACGUCCGGGGUAGGAGUGAAAUCCUGUAAUCCCGGACGGACCGCCGAUGGCGAAAGCACGCUGGGAAGACGGAUCCGACGGUGAGGGACGAAAGCUAGGGUCUCGAACCGGAUUAGAUACCCGGGUAGUCCUAGCCGUAAACGAUGCUCGCUAGGUGUGGCUCCCGCUACGAGCGGGUGCUGUGCCGUAGGGAAGCCGCUAAGCGAGCCGCCUGGGAAGUACUGCCGCAAGGAUGAAAUUCAA